Molecule: unclassified non-coding RNA, 207 nt
Filed under: uncultured Mycenaceae
Lineage: Eukaryota; Fungi; Basidiomycota; Agaricomycetes; Agaricales; Mycenaceae
Description: sequence contains ITS2
Source: RNAcentral
AAUUCUCAACCUUACCAGCUUUGUCUGUUGUGAGGCUUGGAUGUGAGGGCCUGCCGGCUUCCUUCAGUGGAUGGUCAGCUCCCUUGAAAUGCAUUAGUGGGAUCCUUUGUGGACGGUCACUUGGUGUGAUAAUUAUCUACGCCGCUUGACUGCGAAGCAAGCCUUGUGGGAACCCGCUCAUAACCGUCUUCGGACAAUAUCUUGACA